Lacerta agilis (Sand lizard) is the source of this 1094-nucleotide long non-coding RNA. RefSeq lists it as uncharacterized. The record is from RefSeq and is a predicted model, not a curated record. The transcript is spliced from 3 exons. Lineage: Eukaryota; Metazoa; Chordata; Lepidosauria; Squamata; Lacertidae.
CUUCUCUUUUAAAGCACACACACGCGCCCACACACUGGAACUUUGGGUCUGUCAUUUUUUUUCCCCUUCCCUCGCCCUCCCUUUCUUGUUUGGAGGCCUUUUAAAAGUCCCCACUGUGUUGACACGGAUGACAGUGAAAGGAUGAAGAGGCAAAUUGGUCUUGGAUCUGUGUAGAUGGAGCGUGUGUGUUUUUCGUGCAACGCGUGCAUUUCAAAAAUGUCUUGGUGGAGCCCCCCCUUUCCAGCACUGGAAACCUCUCGGCCUCCUAUAAACGGAACUUCACGUUGGUCAAUCAUUUUCAAGUAACUACGAUGUUUCUGUAUCUGCCCGCACCCCACGCCCCGCACCAUCACUAUAGUUCUAUAAGUUAAGUCUUGGCCAACUAAAUAGUUUUUUUCCUACUGAAUCAGCAAAGAUCCAAGGUAACGGGGUUAGGAGGCAGCGGCGGAAUCUGACAGCUUGUUCAACUUAGAAGUUUUUUUCGAAUUCUCCUUUCCUUUAUCCCUGUUUAUUCCCUGUAAUAUUCAAUGGGAUUUUUGAAACUAUAUGAGGUGUCCCUAUGCUGACAGUACAGGAGGUAAAAAUAUUAUUGGGUGAUUGGGCCAAUUAAGAGUCUCCCCCCCCCUCCCCCAGCUUUUCUUCUCCGCUUGCUACUGUGUAAUGUCUAUUACGGUCGGAUAGCCCUGCAAACUUCACCAAAGGAUGUUCAGUUUAGAGAACUUUUAUGGUUGACUUGGAUUACUCCGUUUUAUGGCACGGAAACGUUCCCCACAAUGACCCCCGCCCCUCUCCUUCCUUUUUGACAUUCAAGAGAGUUGCGGUCGUGACGUCACGUCGAGUUGUCAUGGAGAAUAGCUACCGGCUUAAAAAUUAUAAAGCGUGAUAUUAUAGAGCAACAUAAAAUAUGGAUAUAAGCAACUACUUACGCCCGCGAAGAGAUUAAACAAAGAAGAAUACGAUUUUAAUACGUUCAGGAAGAAUAAUUCAAUGAUGAGGAAUGGUUGUCAUUAUCUAUGAGUUCUUAUUUUAUUUUAUUGUUUGCACAUGGGGGUGGGGGAGAAGGAAAAAUUAAUCUCAGGACGCCAGGAAGAAGA